GCUGUAGCUCAGUGGUAUAGCAUGUGCCUAUCAAGCGUGAGGCCCUGGGUUUGAUCCACAGCAAUGCA
RNAcentral lists this transfer RNA (68 nucleotides) under Marmota monax (woodchuck). RNAcentral's name for it is "tRNA.Asp". Lineage: Eukaryota; Metazoa; Chordata; Mammalia; Rodentia; Sciuridae. The record is from RNAcentral.